GUGCCGGGCGAGUCAGUCCGUGGACCCACGGCCGGGUCGAGGCAGCUCUCCACGCCUGCUGCUUGCCGCGUCCCGGCCGCGCGGGGCCUCCGCUGUGUGCGGGGAUGGACGCCCGUGCAGAGCCCUGCGGGGCAGCGGCCUCCCACCGCGGGCAGACGUGGAGGGGCGGCGGAUCUCCUCCGUGCGGCUGGCUCUCCGGGUUCCCGUGGCCCUUGCCCUGCCAGUCUGUGCUGGUUGGGUGACCUCUGGUCUCAGCCAUGCCCUCGGCUGCUUUCCUGCUUAUGUCCUACUUGGCCUGAGCGACUGCGCCUUGCUCUCUGCAGAAUUUAGAAAGCCGCAGCGGGAGGAGACUGGGGACAGUCACAGUUGUGUGGACGUGAAGCAGCACUCCUCGACUAGAAAUGAGAAGCCUGUGAAUGAAAAGCACUAAAGCUUGUGUGCUGCGGGUGAUGCAGGGCGUACAGGGGAAAGUGUGACCAAAACACUCGUGUUAAAAAGAGAAAUCUCUCAAAUCUAGUCCUUGACGGUAAGAAGUCAGAACAGAAGAGCAAACUAAACGUAAAGCAAACAGACAAGAAAUACUGACUGGGGCGGGAAUAAACAGAAAACAAAAACUGGAGAAAUCCUACAAAACCAAAAGUUGGUUCUUUGAAAAGAUCAGCAAAUGACAAAACUUGAGCUGGAUUGACGGGUGAAAAAGAGGGAAACCUCACUGAACUCAGGGAUGAAAGUGAGAAGAGCACCACCGACUUUACAGAAAUAAAAGUGGUUAUGAGGGAAUAAUAGGGACAGCUGAAUGCCAGAAGAUUAGGUAAUUUUUUAAGUGAAACGGAUAAAUCCCUGGAAAAACAAAAAUACAGAAAUUGAGGAAGAAAUGGAACUACUCUCACUUUGUCCAGGUGUUGCUAAAGGCCUCAGGGACUCCAGACCUUCCAAAGAGGGUGUUCUCUCUCCUUGGUCCCCACCUCUGAUCCUCCCAGUCGUCUCCAGAAGCUUCUUUUAAAGCCCCUAAGUACUCAGGCUUGGCCAGGUGUUGAAGGAAGCCACACUCCCUAGCAAGAUAGGGAGCAUGAUAGCUGUUUUUCCUCUGGUUAUCCAAGAAGCAGAGACACCUCCCUAAAAUGAGUGUCAUUUUUCUGGAAUUAAUACAGUAUAGCCUGUGGUGAAAGUAUUUUCUGCCAACAUGACUUUGAUCCUGAUCCUUAGAAAAGAGCAACACAUUUUCCAUAUUUUUGCCAUGAGGGGCUGCUGGCUCUUCCCAACCGUAGUCUAUAGGAGAAGAGCCACGCGUGGUAUUCACUUAAUUUUACCUACCUUGCAGUGGUGCCAUUUUCAUAGAUUUCUGAUUCCCGAAUCCUGUUCUGAUGAAAGGAGGCGACCCUUGACCCCCUUACCAUCCUCAGAACACCCCAGCUAUCAUGGAAACAUGGUUUUUCAGGCUCUGGGCUAUUGCAAGUUCUCUAGCCCCAAACUUAGCCAAAACAGUCCUAGAAGCCUCAAGAGGUCAAUCUGUGAUGUUCCAAAGAGCCUUCUGGACUCCUGCCAGGUACUGUCCCAAAGAGAUCCUCAGGACUCACUUCUUGGUCCCCCUUGCUCCCUUCUGCGUAGGUCUGCCAGGCCUGAUGCUUUCAGUGGACACACCGUACGACUGUCGCAGUUGUUCCUAGCAGCAUGCCAGCAUUGUGUAUAGAAGAAACCUAGAGCUCCAACACCUCAGCCUUUCUUCUGUAGGCGCACAGUUGGAGGGGCUGAUCACCUAAAUUCAACAACUGGUUUGGGGCAGGGCCGUGUUGGAGCCUCAGAUGGACAUUUGGGUUGUUUUGGAUUCUUAUGAAAAGUGCUGGGUUUCCUGGUGCCCGUGAGCUGGAGCCUGAGGAUGGAGCUGCUGAAUCCCAGGAUGCAGAUGUCGCUCCUGCAGGACUCUCCCGAGGCCCCAGUUUUUCCAGAAGGACUUGGAUCCUCCACAGAGGCAGAGUUGACUGCUGGUCCCUGGAAUGUGAACGGGGUGUCCCCAGGACAAAGCACAGAUGAAGAUGAUUUACUCUCACCGGAGAUAAGAACGGUUCUCUUUCUGUCCUACCGAAUACGCUCACAGCAGUUCUUCCUGAUGGAGCUUCUUCUGUGUGAUUCGCGUGGUUGCAGGGCGCAGUGCGGUGGGCUUUGUCUGGUUCCCACAGGUGCCAGAACUUUUCAUCCCCAGGAAGGAGCCCAGGGCCGGUCACCGUGCCCGCUUCCCAGCAGACUCCCCACCAGGGGAGUGACAGCCACCACAGGGGGGCGUUCCCCCAGCGGGCUCCCCUAAGUAAAUAAUAAUAAUCUAAGUACAUUUAUUAACUAAUGGCAUAAACGCCAUGUGGGGUGCUCAAGCAUCUGAGGUGUGGGAGCAGUGCUGGACUGCAGGAGGCUUCAGUGAAAGUCCCUUAACCACGGUGAGAAUGGGAAAUGCCAUUUUCUCUCAUCUGCUUUGGGAGUCUUCCUCCUGCUGAUCAGCAGGGAAUAAUUCCAGUGCUUCCACUCUUCUCCCAGGCCUCUGAAGCAAGAGGCCUUUGAUUUAUAUUACGCUGUCAGAUAGCUGUGCAGCGGGAGAAGAAGGCCCCUCGGUAAUUUGGAACUUCCUCAUGCUGCUAAUGCAAUCAGGAAGCUGGCCCUUUAUAGAAUUAGAGGGUGCGUGCGUGCUUGGAGUUACUAGCCUGCCACCCUGCGUGCAGUGGGAA
Long non-coding RNA from Leptonychotes weddellii (Weddell seal), 2714 nucleotides. RefSeq lists it as uncharacterized. Lineage: Eukaryota; Metazoa; Chordata; Mammalia; Carnivora; Phocidae. The record is from RefSeq and is a predicted model, not a curated record.